CCUACGGGUGGCAGCAGUGGGGGAUAUUGCACAAUGGGGGAAACCCUGAUGCAGCGACGCCGCGUGAGCGAUGAAGUAUUUCGGUAUGUUAAGCUCUAUUAGUAGGGAAGAAAAUGAAGGUACCUGUCUAAGAAGCCACGUCUAACUACGUGCCAGAUGCCGCGGUAAUACGUCGGGGGCCAGCGUUAUCCGGAUUUACUGGGUUUAAAGGGGGCGUAGACGGCUUUGCAAGUCAGAAGUGAAAGGCAAGGGCACAACCCUUGGAUUGCCUUUGAAACUGUGCUGCUGGAGUGUCGUCGAGGCAAGUGGAAUUCCUAGUGUAGCGGUGAAAUGCGUAGAUAUUAGGAGGAACACCAGUGGCGAAGGCGGCUUGCUAAGCGAUGACUGACGUUGAGGCUCGAAAGCGUGGGGAGCAAACAGGAUUAGAUACCCGAGUAGUC
This 440-nucleotide ribosomal RNA is filed under the name uncultured bacterium. Its description in RNAcentral is "partial 16S ribosomal RNA". It matches the Rfam family "Bacterial small subunit ribosomal RNA", at positions 338 to 795 of the family's 1533-position model. The record is from RNAcentral.